CCAAUAGCGUAUAUUAAAGUUGUUGCAGUUAAAAAGCUCGUAGUUGAAUUUCGGAAUCUGUCCAUCGGUCGGGCUUCACUGUCCGUACUGGUGUGGUGGGUUCUUACCUUCUGAAUAACCAGCAUGCCAUUCACUUGGUGCGCUGGGGAAGCAGGACUAUUACCUUGAAAAAAUUAGAGUGCUCAAAGCAGGCUAGUGCCUGAAUACAUUAGCAUGGAAUAAUAAAAUAGGACGGCAUGGUUCUAUUUUGUUGGUUUCUAGGAUCACCGUAAUGAUUAAUAGGGAUAGUUGGGGGCAUUAGUAUUCAAUUGUCAGAGGUGAAAUUCUUGGAUUUAUUGAAGACUAACUUCUGCGAAAGCAUUUGCCAAGGAUGUUUUCAUUAAUCAAGAACGAAAGUUAGGGGAUCGAAGACGAUCAGAUACCGUCGUAGUCUUAACCAUAAACUAUGCCGACUAGGGAUCGGACGAUGUUAAUUUUUUAAUGACUCGUUCGGCGCCUUACG
This 502-nucleotide ribosomal RNA is filed under the name uncultured Glomeromycotina. RNAcentral's name for it is "partial small subunit ribosomal RNA". It matches the Rfam family "Eukaryotic small subunit ribosomal RNA", at positions 591 to 1092 of the family's 1831-position model. Lineage: Eukaryota; Fungi; Glomeromycota. The record is from RNAcentral.